RNAcentral lists this transfer RNA (59 nucleotides) under Tetragnatha macilenta. Its description in RNAcentral is "tRNA-Glu". The record is from RNAcentral. Lineage: Eukaryota; Metazoa; Arthropoda; Arachnida; Araneae; Tetragnathidae.
AUGGAUUUUUUAGUGAAAUUCACGUCAUUAUUUCAUGAUGAAGAUAUUAGACCUAUUUA